GACGAACGCUGGCGGCGUGCUUAACACAUGCAAGUCGAACGGAAAGGCCCUGCUUUUGUGGUGUUCUCGAUUGGCGAACGGGUGAGUAACACGUGAGUAACCUGCCCUUGACUUUGGUAUAACUUCAGGAAACUGGGGCUAAUACCGGAUAGCAUCUCCUGCUGCAUGGUGGGGGUUGGAAAGUUUCGGCUGUUGGGGAUGGACUCGCGGCUUAUCAGCUUGUUGGUUGGGUAGUGGCUUACCAAGGCUUUGACGGGUAGCCGGCAUGAGAGGGUGAACGGGGACAUUGGGACUGAGAGACGGAGCAGACGCCAAUGGGAGGCAGCAGUCGGGAAUAUUGCACAAUGGGAGGGAGCCUGAGGAAGAAACGCCGCGUGCGGGAUGACGGCCUUUGGGUUGUGAAAAGCUGUAGGCUGUGACGAAGCGUGAGUGACGGUAAUGGGUAAAGAAGCACCGGCUAACUACGUG
RNAcentral lists this ribosomal RNA (468 nucleotides) under uncultured bacterium. Its description in RNAcentral is "partial 16S ribosomal RNA". It matches the Rfam family "Bacterial small subunit ribosomal RNA", at positions 28 to 507 of the family's 1533-position model. The record is from RNAcentral.